This 1424-nucleotide ribosomal RNA is filed under the name Limosilactobacillus reuteri. RNAcentral describes it as "bacterial SSU rRNA". It matches the Rfam family "Bacterial small subunit ribosomal RNA". The record is from RNAcentral. Lineage: Bacteria; Bacillati; Bacillota; Bacilli; Lactobacillales; Lactobacillaceae.
GCAAGUCGUACGCACUGGCCCACUGAUUGAUGGUGCUUGCACCUGAUUGACGAUGGAUCACCAGUGAGUGGCGGACGGGUGAGUAACACGUAGGUAACCUGCCCCGGAGCGGGGGAUAACAUUUGGAAACAGAUGCUAAUACCGCAUAACAACAAAAGCCACAUGGCUUUUGUUUGAAAGAUGGCUUUGGCUAUCACUCUGGGAUGGACCUGCGGUGCAUUAGCUAGUUGGUAAGGUAACGGCUUACCAAGGCGAUGAUGCAUAGCCGAGUUGAGAGACUGAUCGGCCACAAUGGAACUGAGACACGGUCCAUACUCCUACGGGAGGCAGCAGUAGGGAAUCUUCCACAAUGGGCGCAAGCCUGAUGGAGCAACACCGCGUGAGUGAAGAAGGGUUUCGGCUCGUAAAGCUCUGUUGUUGGAGAAGAACGUGCGUGAGAGUAACUGUUCACGCAGUGACGGUAUCCAACCAGAAAGUCACGGCUAACUACGUGCCAGCAGCCGCGGUAAUACGUAGGUGGCAAGCGUUAUCCGGAUUUAUUGGGCGUAAAGCGAGCGCAGGCGGUUGCUUAGGUCUGAUGUGAAAGCCUUCGGCUUAACCGAAGAAGUGCAUCGGAAACCGGGCGACUUGAGUGCAGAAGAGGACAGUGGAACUCCAUGUGUAGCGGUGGAAUGCGUAGAUAUAUGGAAGAACACCAGUGGCGAAGGCGGCUGUCUGGUCUGCAACUGACGCUGAGGCUCGAAAGCAUGGGUAGCGAACAGGAUUAGAUACCCUGGUAGUCCAUGCCGUAAACGAUGAGUGCUAGGUGUUGGAGGGUUUCCGCCCUUCAGUGCCGGAGCUAACGCAUUAAGCACUCCGCCUGGGGAGUACGACCGCAAGGUUGAAACUCAAAGGAAUUGACGGGGGCCCGCACAAGCGGUGGAGCAUGUGGUUUAAUUCGAAGCUACGCGAAGAACCUUACCAGGUCUUGACAUCUUGCGCUAACCUUAGAGAUAAGGCGUUCCCUUCGGGGACGCAAUGACAGGUGGUGCAUGGUCGUCGUCAGCUCGUGUCGUGAGAUGUUGGGUUAAGUCCCGCAACGAGCGCAACCCUUGUUACUAGUUGCCAGCAUUAAGUUGGGCACUCUAGUGAGACUGCCGGUGACAAACCGGAGGAAGGUGGGGACGACGUCAGAUCAUCAUGCCCCUUAUGACCUGGGCUACACACGUGCUACAAUGGACGGUACAACGAGUCGCAAGCUCGCGAGAGUAAGCUAAUCUCUUAAAGCCGUUCUCAGUUCGGACUGUAGGCUGCAACUCGCCUACACGAAGUCGGAAUCGCUAGUAAUCGCGGAUCAGCAUGCCGCGGUGAAUACGUUCCCGGGCCUUGUACACACCGCCCGUCACACCAUGGGAGUUUGUAACGCCCAAAGUCGGUGGCCUAAC